UCAAAAAUGAUGAUAAUCGGUUUUAGGAUUUAUAAAAUUGUAUCCAAAAAAAGAAAAUAUCCUCGUUUAAUAAUAAACUUUCAUAAUAUGACAACCGGAAAAUUAUUUUACUUUAUUGUACCGAAAAACACACACACACACAACAUAAAUAGUAAUUUGUUGCUCAAUUUCAUCAAUAUGGUGUUUCAUAAAUUGUUGAUCGCAUCUGAAAUUAAUUUUGAAACAAAAAAAAAAGUCAACCCAAAUUUUUUGCGUAAAAAAAGUAGUAAAAAUGAGCAGCAAUGUCCAUCGGAUGUUGAUCAUAGCAAAUCCGUUGGAACGAAAUAAAAUAUAAAUCAAAGAUAGAUUCGGUACGCGGAGGCGUUCACAUUCAAUCUCAAAAAAAAUUCUAAGAUCUUUUUUUUUGUACGCCUUAAAUCUGUCCAAGGAUGAAUCAGAUCAACAACAACAAACAAACAAAAAAGAAGAAAAAGAUAGUGUUCGGUGCGGAUGCUAGUUUGGUGUCCACACAAAUAAACUACUCAAAAAAAAACGAAACAUAGGAAUCGACAUAAACAUUUUGUCAUUUUGUUGCGAACAACCAAAAAAAAAAAAUCACAUAUAAAAAGCAU
Long non-coding RNA from Dermatophagoides pteronyssinus (European house dust mite), 611 nucleotides. The record is from RefSeq and is a predicted model, not a curated record. NCBI's taxonomy places the organism in Eukaryota, Metazoa, Arthropoda, Arachnida, Sarcoptiformes, Pyroglyphidae.